RNAcentral lists this long non-coding RNA (910 nucleotides) under Gallus gallus (chicken). Lineage: Eukaryota; Metazoa; Chordata; Aves; Galliformes; Phasianidae. The record is from RNAcentral.
AUGAAAAAUAAGGUAUUUUAAAGGCAGAGUUUCUCAAUAGUGUAAUAACUGAUUUCUAUUUAAAUCCAACUAAACUAACCAUUACUUUCUGACACUUUUGAGCUUGCGUUCCUUUAGGCUUUCUAUGUGUUUCUGGCAGCUUAUUUGGUCUCCAUUUUGUCCACAUUUGCUGGUUUUCCUUUUCCAAUGGCGAUAUGGAAAUGUUCAUUUGAUAGUUUUUACACACAAAUAAAUAAUGCACUGUUAACUCUACAACUAAGAGGAAUGGGUAGGAUGCCUAUUGCAUAACAAUACAGAGAGAUCAAGUAAGGCACGGGACAGAUACAGCAACUCCACUUCAUGGGAUUUUCCUGUUUUUUUCCUUUCACAUAGUAACACUAACAAAUUUCUUCCAGUGUUUAUUUUUUAAAAGGUUUCUUUUUUUUUUGCUUUAACUUUGCUUCUUGUCUAUCUCACACUAUGUGUAGGUGAAAUGUAAGAUAAAGGCCUUCAAUGUUUUGCUUCAGAUGCCAGUUUAAAAACAAAAAGACAAAAACAAACUUUCAAACAGUUCAGACUAGUACCGCUUUUUUUUCUUCUUUGUUUUUUUUUCCCCUUUUAACACUGAUGAACCUGGGUUUUCGUUUUGCUUUCUUUCCUCCUCGCUCUCUCUUUCUUUUUUUCCUUGGUUAUUAUUUUUAUUUUUUACUUUUUUUUUUUUUGAUACACACACGUCACGCUGUUUCUGGGGUAUCCUUUAGCUGCAUUUGCAAGACUUUACAAUCAUGUUGGACAGCUGUUCGAUUUUGGGUGUUUUGCCAAUGUAGUAGAGGAUGGUGAGGGGCUCUAAAUCCUGGGACACGCAGCACGGAGAGGCAGAAGCUUCUGGAUUUAUGGUGUUAUACAAGCUGAGUACUCUGCUGUGCUGAGU